UACGUAGGGUGCGAGCGUUAAUCGGAAUUACUGGGCGUAAAGGGCUCGUAGGCGGCCAACUAAGUCAGACGUGAAAUCCCCAGGCUUAACCUGGGAACUGCGUCUGAUACUGGAUGGCUUGAAUUCGGGAGAGGGAUGCAGAAUUCCAGGUGUAGCGGUGAAAUGCGUAGAUAUCUGGAGGAAUACCGGUGGCGAAGGCGGCAUCCUGGACCGACAUUGACGCUGAGGAGCGAAAGCUAGGGGAGCAAACGGG
This 253-nucleotide ribosomal RNA is filed under the name uncultured bacterium. Its description in RNAcentral is "partial 16S ribosomal RNA". It matches the Rfam family "Bacterial small subunit ribosomal RNA", at positions 524 to 776 of the family's 1533-position model. The record is from RNAcentral.